Molecule: long non-coding RNA, 1114 nt
Organism: Oncorhynchus nerka (sockeye salmon)
Lineage: Eukaryota; Metazoa; Chordata; Actinopteri; Salmoniformes; Salmonidae
Exons: 2
Source: RefSeq, a predicted model, not a curated record
CGCGCCAGUCAAUUGCUUAUGUAAUGUGCUCUUGACGAUUCAAGUGUUGUCUUUGUCACCGUAAACAAUUAGGUUUCUCACGCUUCCCGCCUCAUCAAAAGGUGCUAACCCAUUAAAUACUGGACAGGACAACGAUAUUUUUGAGAAGACAAAUAGCCUGUGGUUCCAACCGAAUAAACCGUGUUACCGUCUGGAUAAAAUACAGGUAGGUCUAGGCUGGACUAUGUUUACGGUUUUUGCGCAUCGGUUGUUGUUUUUUUGCUACCUGAAUGAGUUUGGUCUCAGAAUUGUCCGACGACUCUUUUCAUGUGGAUGCCCUCAGUGCCCCGACAGGAGGAAUAUGCGGAGCCGGCUUUUUCAACACAGUCCUUGAAACCUAAUGUGCCACCAAGAAGACUAAAACCCCAUCCCUGUCCCUCAGGGUCCAAACCUUGCCCUCCCUAGACUACGGAGGUCCCAACGGGUUGUCAACCUAAAUUCAGGGUCAGUCUCUCAUUCCCCCAGGACGAAGACGCGCAGCACCUUCCGCUGGACUGGUGUUGGUAAACGAGACCAGACCUACUGAGAAGACACCCCGGUAUAAGCGAAGGAGACGGAACAGGACCAGGGGUAGACCUACAGCACAUUCAAGGCAAGGACAGACAGUCCAGCUCACCUGCCGCUCCUGAGGCUCCACAGUCAGAGUCAGUGGACACGAAUGGACAUUAACCUACUUUGAGUAACGACCCAGCUCCAGGCCAACACUGAGCUGCAGCUAGCCUGGCAUAUCCAACACCUUAUUCUGUCAGUGGACAGCAGAACAACACCUUGAGCGAACUCCCAGUAAUCAGGACUGAAAUGGUGGAGAUAUCUCCAUUUAAAGCAAUUUAAAUGUUUGCUUGUUAGCAAUACUUUACUCUACACUACACGAUUAAUCAUAUCAAGUAUUCCAUAAAAUCCGAUUUUGUGUAUUAGUGCAAUGGGUCGUGUGUGUGUGUGGGGUGGGGUGAAAAACAUUUCUGGGGACUCUAAUUUUUCCUGAUCUGGUAUGAAACCAGGUAAAACUCCGGACCUAAUUUGGUAUGACACGAUUAAUCUGUUGUAAAAAAAAAAUCAAAUAAAAGGUUUAAUAUAA